RNAcentral lists this transfer RNA (74 nucleotides) under Galdieria partita. RNAcentral's name for it is "tRNA-Gln". It matches the Rfam family "tRNA". Rfam says of the family: Transfer RNA (tRNA) molecules are approximately 80 nucleotides in length. Their secondary structure includes four short double-helical elements and three loops (D, anti-codon, and T loops). Lineage: Eukaryota; Rhodophyta; Bangiophyceae; Galdieriales; Galdieriaceae. The record is from RNAcentral.
UGGGGUAAGGCCGAGUAGGAGGAGGUAAUGGAAUUUGGAUCCAUGUGGUGGUGGUUCGAGUCCACCUACCCCAG